GCACUACUGAGGAGUCCCAUACUAGGACGAAACGGCCGUUCAGUGC
Molecule: non-coding RNA, 46 nt
Organism: Schistosoma haematobium
Lineage: Eukaryota; Metazoa; Platyhelminthes; Trematoda; Strigeidida; Schistosomatidae
Source: Rfam